Molecule: long non-coding RNA, 1031 nt
Organism: Gasterosteus aculeatus aculeatus (three-spined stickleback)
Lineage: Eukaryota; Metazoa; Chordata; Actinopteri; Perciformes; Gasterosteidae
Source: Ensembl
CACUGUUUGAGUGGGUUUACACAGAUGGAGACCAUUCUUAGUCAACAUUCACAUAAAAAUCAGCCCGGGUCCUUUUAAUUUCUGGUUUUUCCCCCCUUCUUCUGGUUGGCCUCCUUUUCAUUGUGUGUAGACAGUGGCGGAGACUUUGCUGUUUUACUGGGCGGGAGAUGAGCCCUUUAUGUGUUUAAGAGCUCUAAACUUCACAAGGAUCCGUAGAUUCUCACAGUCACCAGUAAAGACCACCUCGUCAUUCACGUUUUUCACAAAAGGCAAACCAUUUUUUUUUUUUAACACGUCUGGGAGUUACAAUAGUUUAAGUCCAGUAUGGCGUAAACAGACAACUGGUUUCACUGCUUUUUUCAGCGUGAUCCCAACGAAGAAAACAACUGAACCACAAGGCUUCCCUCUGUCUGCGACGUGAAUAGUUUUCUCUCCAGCCUUUAGGACAUAAGCUUGCACAAAGUCAACAAAGCCACAAGCACAAUACUGUGGAGCUCUUACGUGUAAGAGAAACAGCAGCCGCGGAUCGCAGUCCGCCGGGAUCAUCAGCUUCCUCAUUUACGGCUCGAAGGCGAUGCCAAACGUCAUGUGAAACCAUGAAGGACGGGAGGCAAUAAGUCGGGAGAAUAGCAGCAAUCUUGGGGAAAGUUCUCCAUUCACUCUCACUCCCGUAUAGUUCUCGGUCCCCUUAUCCAGCUUUGAAGAUAAAGAAGAAAAAAAAUCAAUACAGAAACAGUGUGAGAUAAAAGCGCAAAGGGGGGAGAGAGCCGAGCCGAGUUGGGUGCAGUGAAUUAAAGCGAUGAGAAAUUUCCCGGCCGCUCGGUUCCUCCGUCUACAUACGCUAGCAGGCCUGUCUCGCUGUGUCCAUCACUCUCGGCGCUCUCUUCAAUCCCUCUUUGUUCACUUUUGAUUUCUUUUUGGUCUAUUCCCAGUUGGCUUUGUGUUUUGGGAUGAAGGACCGGCUCCCCAUUCAGCUGCAAUAACUGCUGAGUGAAGGUUUUGGAUAUUGGGAGGGAGCUUCCGUGUUGCCG